GCGGCGUGGCGGGGCCGCGGCGCAGGAAGGGCGGGGGGCGCCCCUUUGCCCCGGUUGCGCGGCUGCGCCAGGCGCCUGAGGAGAACAGGGCGGGCGCUGCGCAGUCACCGCCGGGGCGGGGAACGGCGCGGCGGGCGCGGGGCCGCCGCCGUGAGGGCGCUGGGAAUCCCUCAGCCUGGGGGGCGAGCGAAGCGCAUUGGCGCUCGAUGAAAACCCGUCUGGAGGGGGAGAGAAGGAAAAGUUUCCUUUUAAAAGAAGAUUCAUUCACUUAAAAGUCUUUUAUAUAUAUAUAUAUAUAUAUAUAUAUAUAUAUAAAGUAGGCGAGUUGCUCGGGAGCUGCGAAACUUUUAUUCCGAUUGAUUAAAUGCCAGCGUCGUCAGAACUGUUUACACAACCGUGGAAUAAUGAGAGAGCAACGUUUUUAGCCUAGUGCAUGUGCGAAAAUAGGCCACUCUUAAGACUGGAAAUAAGGCACCAAAGUACUAAUUAAGCUUCUUAAUUGGGAAAAAUAAUGUCUUUCUCGGGUGUAUGUUAACUCCUCACGUUGCUCAGAUACGUGAACACGUAUAGGUGUCAGGACAGUCAAUACUAUGUAAGAUGCCAAAGUUAGUGCUCUCUGUGCGUGUCCUAAGGGUUUUUCCCCUCUGCCCGCAGCUAGGUGUGUGGUUUCGGGGGUUCCGCGGCGCCGUGCGGCCUCUCACUUGGCUCGCUCGGUUUCUUCUGUGCCAAGUCUUCGGUCAAACACCAUCCUGGAGCCACGCUCACCUCUGAAGAGAUGGUUCCCCCCCCUCCUCCAAGCAUUCCAGAAUUACCAUGUUGGAAAUAUCUGAGGUUUUGGCAGCUUGCUGUAUUACAAAUAGUUCAUGAAUACAAUUAACCAUCCUUGAGUAGCCUGCAGCAGCAGCAUCCAAUCCUUGCCUUACUCGUCAGAAAUAUAAUUAUUCUUCCACAGUAAUUCCACCAAACAUUUUUUGAGAUACUGGCCUUACUCUCAGACAGUGAAAAUACUGAAAAUGGAGUUUUUCACAUUAUACUAGCUAACGAUCUGGCCACAGCUUUUGGGAUGACUGUAGUGAGAUAGUAAUUCCAUCUUUAUUAAUGUUUUAUAUGAAAUCAAAACUGAAAAAAACCCCACAAACAAAAAUGUAUUGAGUUCUUAAAGUAAUUGCAUUUAAAGUAUCAUUCUUUUCAUCUAAUGCAUCAGCAUUUUCUUAACACGAGUUCCUAUUGCAGACCGUAGUAAAAGAAAAGAUCUUUUAUAUCUUAAUGGCUUAUUGUACUGGCAUUCUGACAUUAUGUUUUGGCUGAUCAAAAAGCUUUUUAUCUGAUCCUGUGCUAAAGAACUGCAAAACAAAAAUAAUGCAUGUUUUCAGACUUUUCACUUUAAAAAAAAUGAAAUACAUUUCUUGAAAGCUGUGGCAGGUUUGUGCAUUUGGAAAAAUACAGAAGGCAUCUUCCCUGCAUAUAGUCACUCAGCGUCUGAAUGAGGAAGUAAAUUCCCGUAUUUUGCAUUCAACUUCUGAAAAUACUUGAUAGAUUUUCCAUGCUUAUGUGCUACUUUUUUGUCUGCAAAUGAGGUUGACCAUUUAUAUUUUACUGGUCUUCAUGUUACUUGUUUUAUAGAUUUACCACCAACUGUGUGCUAAUGUAUUGUGCAGUGAAAGUAAGGCAUUCAGCUGCAGUUUCUUUGGAUGUACUCAUCGCUGCUUGUCAUUACUUGUGACAACAGAAAUUUGAAAACUGUUGUAUGAACUAAUGGCAGAAAGAAGUACUUCCUACUCUGAGAGCACUGCCCCAUUUGUUUUACAAAGAAAACCUUAGCAAUAGCUCAGCUGAAAUUUAAUAACUGCCUAAUUUUACUGGUAUCAAUGUUCUCAUCCAAAGUGAGUGAAAAGUGCUUUUUUUUUUGGUGAUUUUUUGCAGAUUUUGAGAGCAUGACACUCUGUGUCAACUAUUCUGCUUGCUAUAGUUACAUGAGCUGAUAACAAGCUUCAGUGAUUUCUUGCAGUUUUUUAUAUCCCUAGGUGCAGAGGUCAUUUUAACUGCACACAUUUUUCUGGCUCACCAUCCCAUUUCAAGGGUUCAUUUGAAGCAGCUCUCAUGGCAGGUAGCCAGGUUUUCAGUUUAUGCAGUGGCAGGUUAAAUCAGUAUACUUCUUUGCUUCUGAUGUUAAUGUUGGGGGAUUUUUUUUUUAAUUCUGUAAUACUUAUGUUCUCCAAUGCAUUUCUCUUAUUUUCCAUGGUGGUAGGUUUUGUAAUAUCAGCUGAUAUUAUAUUCCUUUGGCACACCUAUCAUUUGCAUGCACAUAAAGCACUGAAGGUGCUCAUUAUUUUCAGCUAACAAGUAAUCUUGUUCCUACUUAAUUUGAGAUACAUUGUUCUCUGUAUUCUAAUUUUGGCUUUCACAGUUACUUGCCUCAUUGCAUUUGGAUUACACUGUACUAUGUUUUAAUUCAUCAUCGUUAAAAUCUGCAAGAUAAAACGUCAUAAUAAACAGAUACAUAGAUACAAUCGCAACGGAAACAUAAAAGCAAGUAGGUAGGUUAACAUGAUUUAUCACCUGGAAAGUAUGUCAUCACAGGCAUAGUGAACAGUAUGGGACUGCUUUAUUAAGUAGAAGCUCAUCAUUUCAUGGAUCUUACUAACUUCCCAGGGCUGAAUAGAGAGGGUUGUAUUGAUGUGUUUCUGCACUCGCAUGCAAGAGCUGGAGAACCCUCUCCAGACAGUCUUACUGCAGCAGCCACCCAUUCUCAGAAGGAGGUGUGAAGGUUCAUCAGAGGUUCACACACCUGCAAUCGCCGCAUUUUCACCCUGGAGCUGCUGCUGGCCAAAUACGUCAGUGCGAUUGCCAAGUGAUGGCAAACUGCUCCUUCACAUGGAAGCAGCAACUUCUGCUGAGAGUCUCAAGACCUCGCAGAUCUCUUUUUGUGAAUUCCCUGGAGGCUGUGUCCCAGUUGUUAUGAAAUACGGGUUUAUCAUAAUAAAUAUCGCAUCAGGAA
Rhea pennata is the source of this 2998-nucleotide long non-coding RNA. RefSeq lists it as uncharacterized. NCBI's taxonomy places the organism in Eukaryota, Metazoa, Chordata, Aves, Rheiformes, Rheidae. The record is from RefSeq and is a predicted model, not a curated record. The transcript is spliced from 4 exons.